This 469-nucleotide ribosomal RNA is filed under the name uncultured bacterium. Its description in RNAcentral is "partial 16S ribosomal RNA". It matches the Rfam family "Bacterial small subunit ribosomal RNA", at positions 28 to 523 of the family's 1533-position model. The record is from RNAcentral.
GACGAACGCUGGCGGCGUGCUUAACACAUGCAAGUCGAGCGGGGAACUUCGGUUCCCAGCGGCGGACGGGUGAGUAACACGUGGGUAACCUGCCUUACAGUGGGGAAUAGCCUUCCGAAAGGAAGAUUAAUACCGCAUAAUACUCAGAGAUCACAUGAUCUUUGAGCCUAAGGAUUUAUUCGCUGUAAGAUGGACCCGCGGCGCAUUAGCUUGUUGGUGAGGUAACGGCUCACCAAGGCUUCGAUGCGUAGCCGACCUGAGAGGGUGAUCGGCAACAUUGGAACUGGGACACGGUCCAGACUCCUACGGGGGGCAGCAGUGGGGAAUAUUGCACAAUGGAGGAAACUCUGAUGCAGCAACGCCGCGUGAGUGAUGAAGGUCUUCGGAUCGUAAAACUCUGUCUUAUGGGACGAUAUGACGGUACCAUAGGAGGAAGCCACGGCUAACUACGUGCCAGCCGCCGCGGUAA